AAUAUAAAUCAAUUUUAACAAAACAAAUUUUAUCUGUAGGAAAAUUGCCUCUAAAAUAAUGCCAGGUAGCUGGAAGGAACCACGGAAGAAGGUAAUGUAAAUAUAAAUAUGUUUUGCUAGUAUAAGACAAAAAACACACACAUCUCCUUUACUAAUCACCUCGUAAAAUGAUAGAAUCUACCCAAACAGAUUGACAGCCUGGACUGUAGAAUCUUCAUGCUCAUGUAUGCUCUCUACAUUGCCAUUGGAAGUGCAUUUGAUUUCAGUCAUGUCAGUGGUUUAAGUGUAAUAUUUGUUUGAAUAUUGUGAUUUUUUUUAUUCAUAGAAUUUAUUGUAAUUUCCUGGUUUACAAUUUUUAGGAAGAAAUGCCACAAAUUAGAAGAUGGUGGUGUCUUCUCUUACUUCGCAAAGCCAGCAUGAAAAGGUGUGUAACUUUUCAAACUUUUUUUAAGGGAAGAACAGUUAUAAGAAUUUGUCAACUUACAGUAUUUCUAAAAAAAAAUGUAUCUUCCUGCCAAGACAGCGGUCUUCAAUUUCCACAUGAGACAUUCUGUGUACCACAGGUAAUGCUUCAUAAUUAGCAGUUGAAAAGUUUUCUGACACUAAUUUUAUAUAUUAGAACUUCACAAAAAGACUUUGACCAACAGGUCACACAGCAGGUCUCCAGUGAGGCCUUCACUGACUUGUGUCGUCCUUCAGCCCUGUGUUGUGUCAGUGGCAUUAUGGGGACAGAGAAUAGUGGUCUUAAAAAUGAGGGUUUUGAGUGCUCUAACUGAUUUAUUAAAUGGCAAUUAUUUCUGCUUCCAGCAAUUCCAGACAAGAUAGGAAAGAGCAAGAACUUUUCUCCCCCACCUUUCUUUUCCAUUACUGAAGCAUAUGAAAAUGUUGACUAAAUUAUUUAUGCCAGUACAAUUAAUAGUAUAACAUUUACUUUACUGUUCCUAAAAUGUAGGUAAUAAAUGGCUUCAUAGAGUUGCUUUUGUGGAGUGUAACAUUUUGACUGUUUUCCUUGUUCUUCAAAGAUCAGUUUCAUCUGUGGCAUUAGGUAGCAUUAACUGAAUUUGCAGAAAUCAACCAAUCUAGAAUGGAGUGAUUGUUUGCUUCAGGUAAACACUUUGCAUUAUGUAUAACUUUUUACAUGUAGCAUUUCUGUUGUAAUAUGUUUGGGUGAAUGUUUCAGCAGUUUUUAAAGCAUGCUUACUAAACUGGGAACAAUUAAAUUACAUAUCAUUUGAAAU
Molecule: long non-coding RNA, 1238 nt
Organism: Erpetoichthys calabaricus (reedfish)
Lineage: Eukaryota; Metazoa; Chordata; Cladistia; Polypteriformes; Polypteridae
Exons: 3
Source: RefSeq, a predicted model, not a curated record